RNAcentral lists this ribosomal RNA (463 nucleotides) under Vreelandella stevensii. RNAcentral describes it as "partial 16S ribosomal RNA". It matches the Rfam family "Bacterial small subunit ribosomal RNA", at positions 339 to 795 of the family's 1533-position model. The record is from RNAcentral. Lineage: Bacteria; Pseudomonadati; Pseudomonadota; Gammaproteobacteria; Oceanospirillales; Halomonadaceae.
CCACGGGAGGCUGCAGUGGGGAAUAUUGGACAAUGGGCGAAAGCCUGAUCCAGCCAUGCCGCGUGUGUGAAGAAGGCCUUCGGGUUGUAAAGCACUUUCAGUGGGGAAGAAAGCCUUGGGGCUAAUACCCUCGAGGAAGGACAUCACCCACAGAAGAAGCACCGGCUAACUCCGUGCCAGCAGCCGCGGUAAUACGGAGGGUGCGAGCGUUAAUCGGAAUUACUGGGCGUAAAGCGCGCGUAGGCGGUCUGAUAAGCCGGUUGUGAAAGCCCCGGGCUCAACCUGGGAACGGCAUCCGGAACUGUCAGGCUAGAGUGCAGGAGAGGAAGGUAGAAUUCCCGGUGUAGCGGUGAAAUGCGUAGAGAUCGGGAGGAAUACCAGUGGCGAAGGCGGCCUUCUGGACUGACACUGACGCUGAGGUGCGAAAGCGUGGGUAGCAAACAGGAUUAGAUACCCGGUAGUC